AAGUCAUAACAAGGUUUCCGUAGGUGAACCUGCGGAAGGAUCAUUAGAGAUGCCGAAAGGCUUUUCCAAACACCUGUGCACCGGCCCGAAGCCCGAGAGGGCCGACGGCCACCUUACACACAAACUCGUGUCACGAACGUAACAUAUCAUAAUCAAAAACAACUUUCAACAACGGAUCUCUUGGCUCUC
This 189-nucleotide unclassified non-coding RNA is filed under the name Tremella sp. RNAcentral describes it as "partial internal transcribed spacer region". The stretch from base 1 to 46 matches the Rfam family "Eukaryotic small subunit ribosomal RNA", at positions 1786 to 1831 of the family's 1831-position model. The record is from RNAcentral. Lineage: Eukaryota; Fungi; Basidiomycota; Tremellomycetes; Tremellales; Tremellaceae.